RNAcentral lists this ribosomal RNA (468 nucleotides) under uncultured bacterium. RNAcentral's name for it is "partial 16S ribosomal RNA". It matches the Rfam family "Bacterial small subunit ribosomal RNA", at positions 28 to 507 of the family's 1533-position model. The record is from RNAcentral.
GACGAACGCUGGCGGCGUGCUUAACACAUGCAAGUCGAACGGAAAGGCCCUGCUUUUGUGGGGUGCUCGAGUGGCGAACGGGUGAGUAACACGUGAGUAACCUGCCCUUGACUUUGGGAUAACUUCAGGAAACUGGGGCUAAUACCGGAUAUGAUCUCCUGCUGCAUGGUGGGGGUUGGAAAGUUUCGGCGGUUGGGGAUGGACUCGCGGCUUAUCAGCUUGUUGGUGGGGUAGUGGCUUACCAAGGCUUUGACGGGUAGCCGGCCUGAGAGGGUGACCGGCCACAUGGGGACUGAGAUACGGCCCAGAAUCCUACGGGAGGCAGCAGUGGGGAAUAUUGCACAAUGGGCGGAAGCCUGAUGCAGCAACGCCGCGUGCGGGAUGACGGCCUUCGGGUUGUAAACCGCUUUCGCAUGUGACGAAGCGUGAGUGACGGUAAUGGGUAAAGAAGCACCGGCUAACUACGUG